This 272-nucleotide ribosomal RNA is filed under the name uncultured bacterium. RNAcentral describes it as "partial 16S ribosomal RNA". It matches the Rfam family "Bacterial small subunit ribosomal RNA", at positions 85 to 354 of the family's 1533-position model. The record is from RNAcentral.
CUGCCGGCGACCGGCGCACGGGUGAGUAACACGUAUGGAACCUGCCCGCAGCAGGGGGAUAAGCGGAAGAAAUUCCGUCUAAUACCGCGUAACAACCCGAGGAGGCAUCUCCUCGGGUUUAAAGGAAGCGAUUCCGGCUACGGAUGGUCAUGCGUCGCAUUAGCUAGUUGGCGGGGUAACGGCCCACCAAGGCGACGAUGCGUAGGGGUUCUGAGAGAAGGUCCCCCACACUGGUACUGAGACACGGACCAGACUCCUACGGGAGGCAGCAG